ACUCCUACGGGAGGCAGCAGUGGGGAAUAUUGCACAAUGGGGGAAACCCUGAUGCAGCCAUGCCGCGUGUGUGAAGAAGGCCUUCGGGUUGUAAAGCACUUUCAGUAGGGAGGAAGGUAGUGUAGUUAACACCUGCAUUAUUUGACGUUACCUACAGAAGAAGCACCGGCUAACUCCGUGCCAGCAGCCGCGGUAAUACGGAGGGUGCGAGCGUUAAUCGGAAUUACUGGGCGUAAAGCGCAUGCAGGCGGCCUGUUAAGUCAGAUGUGAAAGCCCGGGGCUUAACCUCGGAAUUGCAUUUGAAACUGGCAGACUAGAGUACUGUAGAGGGGGGUAGAAUUUCAGGUGUAGCGGUGAAAUGCGUAGAGAUCUGAAGGAAUACCGGUGGCGAAGGCGGCCCCCUGGACAGAUACUGACACUCAGAUGCGAAAGCGUGGGGAGCAAACA
This 447-nucleotide ribosomal RNA is filed under the name uncultured bacterium. RNAcentral describes it as "bacterial SSU rRNA". It matches the Rfam family "Bacterial small subunit ribosomal RNA", at positions 335 to 774 of the family's 1533-position model. The record is from RNAcentral.